This 4687-nucleotide long non-coding RNA is filed under the name Homo sapiens (human). RNAcentral describes it as "HSALNT0339293". Lineage: Eukaryota; Metazoa; Chordata; Mammalia; Primates; Hominidae. The record is from RNAcentral.
UUACAGUUCUAGAGGCUGAUAAGUCCAAGCAUAUGGUGCCAGCAUCUGGUGAGGCCUUCUUGCUGUGUAAUCUCAUGGCAGAAGAGUGGAAGGACAAGUGAGCACAUGCAAAAGGGAUUGUACAAGGUGCUGAGCUGGCUUUAUUACAACUUGCUCUUGAGAUAACUACCAACUCUGAUGAUAGGACCUUAAUCUAUUCAUAAGGGUGCUGCCUAUGAUUUGAUUACCUCUUAAAGGCCCCACAUCUUAAUACUUUUACAAUGGCAAUUAAAUGUCAACAUGAGUUUCAGUGGAGACAAACAUUCAAACCAUAGCAAAGGCUUAGAAUAGAAUCCUAGGAAUUCCAAAAUUGCCAGACAGAGAAAAAGAUGACAGCUACAGAAUCUGUGAAAUAUGUUCAUCAAAGUAAAAAGAAAUCCAGACAGUCAGUGACCUGUGAGCCAAUGGAAGAGAGAGACCACACAGGUGAGUGCCAAUGAGAGAUCAAAUGAGAUAUAGGUCAUAGUUACUUGUUCUAUUAAAUGACAUAGAAGAUAAAGGUGGCCUUAGCAAAAAUAGAAUUUCAAACUGUUAGGGAGGAAGCCAGACUGGAAUUAGAGAGGUAGCUGAAGAAUGACAGGGAAUGAGUAGAGAGGAACAGAGAGUAUAGGUUCUUUUGAAGAGCCAGGAAAGUUGGCAUGAAGAAGCUCAAUAUCUCUUUCUGUCUCUCAUUCUCACUCUGUGUGUGUAUGUGUGUGUGUGUGUGUGUGUGGUGGGGAGAAGGAAUAAGAGACAGAAAUCUUGAAACAUUAAAAUUAUCAUUAAAUGAUGGUGAGAAGGAAAGAAAUAUAAAAGUUAUGGUAAGAGAAAAAUAUGAGUAAUAUUUAACUCUUUCCAGAAAGGAUCCUCAAACCAAAGAACAUCCAUUUAGGCACUAUGGCUAGUGUUCAAACACACAAUAACCUCAAAAUAACACUUGCUGUCAAGCAGAAUUUGUAAAACUGAGCUGAAUAAUCAUGGAUUCAAAGGAAUUUAUUUCCUGACAUAUCAAAAUGGCCUUGUUUAAAUCAUGUAAUCGAGUCUAUAAUAAAAAUUUAAUCUUAAGGUUUUAUAGCUCAAAAAAAUCUGUAUUUUAAAUUUUUAGGCAGUUUCUUCUAAGGUGAACAAUGGUAUUUACCUUUUGGGUAGAACAUGACUUAUUUUUGGAAGUAUUGCUUGAGUAAUAUUAAGAAUUAGGAAAUAUCUACUUGCUGAUAUGAGAGUAUACAAAAAUGUUUGCUUGACAAGCUUCCGAGGGCUCUGUAAGAUUGUGGUGAUAUCAGAUAAUGCCCUUCCCAAAUGUGUCUGCUCAUCAAUGAAUUUACACACAUGCAUAACAGCUUCCUGGGAGCAGAAUGGCUUGUACCUGGUUCUGUCUCUGAGUGUUUCAAAGAUAUGGAAGCAUGUUUGAUGAAAGAUCAUGGAAUAGCAAAGAAAAAUAGCACCAAAAAGGCAAACAAGGCAGGGAAAGAUUCUAGACUAGUGAUUUGGGAUCAACACAGGACAGGAUGAUUAGAGAGAAUAGCUUCCUGUGCACACUAUGUAGUUUGAUGCAGAAGCCAUCCUGAUCCAGAUGCCCUGGUACUGUGGGGCGGGACCUUGGAAAAAUUACCCAGAGGAUGUGAAGUGAAAGUUUUGUUACACCAUUCUUCAGAGUGAAGGCAGUUUUCCUACAGAAACCUUCAAAAAAGGAGAUGCAUCCUUCCUUGUUCCUGGCAGUCUUGCAUUUGAGGAAAUCAGUAUGCUCCAACUUAGAACUUUGAACUUUGAAUUUUCAGGAAGCCAUGAAGAAUGGAGUAAGAUUCUAGGACCAGUUAACAAGAACAUGUAAAAUAAUUUGUUUGUAAAAUAAUCUUAUGAGGCUAAAGCACAAGCCAGAGCAGAUUUUUUUCAAAAUGCAUAAGCAACACUUGUUCAAUUCCACCUGCUGCAGUUAAAGAAAAGUAAGCAAAAGGGAACACUGACAAAGUAAUUAUUUCUAGCUAUCAAAUGUCCAUUCAUUGAUUUCUAGCCAAAGCAGAGAGAAUCAGGAAGUUUCUAUAAAGGGCAAUGAGUUUCCACAAUACAGAAUGUCUGUGUUGGCUCAACUCCUACCAGUUACCAAACUCCCUAAUCAUCCUCAAUACUUUCACAAUAAGUGCAAAUGCUUUCAAAGUUUAAAUAGAUGCAUCAAAAAAUAUGUGCCAGAUAGCAAUAUUUGAACACUUUUCACUAAGUGCUAAAAGAUUUUAGUUUUGUAUACUAACUGUUAACAUGGAUUAAAACCAACAAAUAAAAACACAAUUGCAAUGCUACUUGUGCUACUGGCCAACUUAGCACCAAAUCACUAAUAACAAUAAAAUUUUUCAAAAUCUUAAUCAAAAUUUCCCCAAAUUAAAAGAAAGCCAAUCAAUCUACAAAUUGUAAAGACUGUAAAAUUAGAUCAAUUAAACUCAACUGGGGAGAGAUUUUAUUUUCCAAGGCACAUUUGGCAGUAUCUAAAGACAUUUUUGUUUGUCACAAAUGAAGGAGGGGGUGCUACCGGUGUCUAGUGGGUAGAGAACAGGGAUGCUGCGAAACAUCCUCUUAUACCUAGGCCAGCCCCCUACAACAAAAAAUUAUUGGCAUAAAGUGUCAAUGGUGCCAGAUUUUAGAAAUCCUGAGUUGGAGUUACCAUAAAGUCCAAUUUAUUUUCCUUUAUUUACAGAGCACCCUCUGGUUUAUAACGAUAACAUCAUAGCAUCAGUAUGUAGGAAGAAAUGUAUUUUCUAAUCCAUUAUGGUUUUCAGGGAUGAAGAGAAUUAUUAUUGCUGUAUCUGAAAAUAAUACCACACCAUUAAGAAUGUAAGUGAAAAGGAAGUGUCUAAGGCACUGGAAUCUUUGUACAACUUAAUCGUUUAGAUAAAUUUGAAAUUUAAAAAUGCUUUAAAAUAGGGAUAAACUCUCCAAGAUUCUGAGUUUACAAAAAAAUUUCCAGUGUUUUAAGCAAUUACUUUUCUUAUGUAAAUCCCAGAUAAGAUGUAGAGGUACUUAUCAACAAACUGACUCCAGAUUUCUAUCAAUGAGCCUAAUAAUAUUAUAAUGAUAGUUUAAAUACUAGGCUGAAGGACAUUAAUAAUGGAGAUUAAAGUAAAAGAUGUAUAUUUAAAUUAAUUCAGUUAAAUUUUGUUAAUUGAUACUCAUUUCCAUUAAUUCUGUUUUUGCAACCUUUCAGACUUAUCUUUUAGUCUCCAGAGGCAGAAAAAAAGCAGAAAAGGUUGUUGAAAUUCUUCACAUUGAUUUCAGGGCAAUGAUCUCAAACGGCGCAGUGGGAACCCGCAAAUUUAAGAGGGUAGUUUCCCUGCACAAGCCCUUUUUUUGCCUGCUGCCAUCCGUGUAAGAUGUGACUUGCUCCUCCUUGUCUUCUACCAUGAUUGUGAGGCCUCCCCAGUUAUGUGGAACUCAAAGCUAGAGGAAACCAAAGUCAUAGAACAUCUGAACUCUGUCCAAACAUCGGUCGUAUUUCAAAAUUUCAGAGCCUCAGACUUCCAUGAUAAUAUCUGCCUAGUCUUUAGAAGAGUGUAUGGAAGUGUUCAAGAACCUUUCCUGAAACAACUUCUAUUACAGACACUGCUUCUUCAUGGUUAUUCCAUCAGAUUGCAAUCACUUAUAUGUUUUUUUCCACUCUUCCUUAUAUUAUGAGCACUUUUCACGUAGGGGUUCAUCUCUUUAAUAAUCAUAGCUCCCAACACAAUUGUAGGCUUAUAUUAGAUGCUCGAUAAAGAUGAGUUGAGUUAACAUGUAAAGUAAUGAAUGAGUAAGGAAAAAUAGAAUAGUUUCGAAUUAAUGCAUGUUACUGCUACUGUAAAUUUAAUGUUUUCAUUUCUAUUACUAUUUAUAUAUAAAUUUAAUUAAUUGUUAACUUUCUUUGCCAUCCAUACAUCUAUUUAUCUGCUCAUUUGAAAAUCUCUUUCCUGUUUCCUAUUAUUCAAAAUAUUAAAAGCAAAUAUUACUUAAAUAUUUAAAUCACUCUUUUUCCAUGUUAAGUUUCUCAGGAUGCAGAAUGUUGCUGUACACUGAGAAAUAUUAGGCGAUACAAAAUGGCUACUAUAACGUAAUGUUCUAGAAAAUGAUAAAAGUCAAACCCAUUGGUUUUUGCUGCCAACACAAGUUUGUCAAUGUAAUUAAUGCCCUUUAGCCUGGGAGGGUUGUAUGACAGGAAAAAUGGCAUCAAAGCCAUUUUUAUUUAAAAAAUAAAUUUAAUAUUACUUGAUAAUAAGGGAGCUAUAUAAGCAAAAAUCUUAGAAUUUUCUUUUUCUUUUUUUUCCUUAGUUUCACAUCUUUCUACAUAGUAUCCAAAUCCCAGUUGUUGAUACUAAUUUUCUUGCCUUCUUACCCUUAACAAGUUUGGAGACAAAGUUAAUAUCAUUAGUAGUAUGUAAACUAAUUCCUAAAGCAAAAGUCUCUAAAAGUGUGAUCCAUGUCCCAUUUUUUAUUGGUCUGCAAUGAGGUAAGCACAGAAAUUUUAAUCACCUCCACGCAUACCUUCAAUGAGCAACAUGUACAGUUUUUUGAGACUCUUCUCUCUUUUCCUGUUAUUUUCUGAUUGCAUUUAUAAAAAUGCAAUUUUGUGUUUGUUGAAUCUGAUGAUAAAAAAUGAGGAAACACCGCAUAUUCUCACUCAUAGGUGGGAAUUGAACAAUGAGAUCAC